This is a long non-coding RNA of Oncorhynchus tshawytscha (Chinook salmon), 893 nucleotides long. NCBI's taxonomy places the organism in Eukaryota, Metazoa, Chordata, Actinopteri, Salmoniformes, Salmonidae. The record is from Ensembl.
GUAGCCUAGUGGUUAGAGUGUAGAGGAGGCAGGGUAGCCUAGUGGUUAGAGCGUUGAGGUGGCAGGUAGCCUAGUGGUUAGAGUGUAGAGGAGGCAGGGUAGCCUAGUGGUUAGAGCGUAGAGGUGGCAGGUAGCCUAGUGGUUAGAGGAGGCAGGUAACCUAGUGGUUAGAGUGUAGAGGAGGCAGGGUAGCCUAGUGGUUAGAGCGUAGAGGCGGCAGGGUAGCCUAGUGGUUAGAGGUGGCAGGUAGCCUAGUGGUUAGAGUGUAGAGGAGGCAGGGUAGCCUAGUGGUUAGAGCGUAGAGGUGGCAGGGUAGCCUAGUGGUUAGAGCGUAGAGGUGGCAGGGUAGCCUAGUGGUUAGAGCGUAGAGGUGGCAGGGUAGGCUAGUGGUUAGAGUGUAGAGGAGGCAGGGUAGCCUAGUGGUUAGAGCGUAGAGGAGGCAGGGUAGCCUAGUGGUUAGAGUGUAGAGGUGGCAGGUAGCCUAGUGGUUAGAGUGUAGAGGAGGCAGGUAGCCUAGUGGUUAGAGUGUAGAGGUGGCAGGUAGCCUAGUGGUUAGAGUGUAGAGGUGGCAGGUAGCCUAGUGGUUAGAGUGUAGAGGUGGCAGGUAGCCUAGUGGUUAGAGUGUAGAGGAGGCAGGUAGCCUAGUGGUUAGAGCGUAGAGGUGGCAGGUAGCCUAGUGGUUAGAGUGUAGAGGAGGCAGGUAGCCUAGUGGUUAGAGCGUAGAGGUGGCAGGUAGCCUAGUGGUUAGAGUGUAGAGGAGGCAGGUAGCCUAGUGGUUAGAGUGUAGAGGUGGCAGGUAGCCUAGUGGUUAGAGUGUAGAGGAGGCAGGUAGCCUAGUGGUUAGAGUGUAGAGGUGGCAGGUAGCCUAGUGGUUAGAGUGUAGAGGCGGCAGG